UCCCCGCUGCCCUGUGUCACCCACCGUCUGGCCGUCCCCGAAUCCCACCGGGGUCUCUUGCUGAUCGCACGGCCUCUCCUUCCCAAACAUCCCCUCUGAGUCUCUUUGCCUCCUCUGGGUGCUGGUUUAACUGUCUCCACCUUGGGGGUUGACAGGGAGCGGGACAGGGACCCAGACAUCCCUUAGCAGAAACGCAUCUCCUGGGCUUUCUUCUGGCCAGAGGUCACCUUUUUUUUGUUGUUGUUUUUGUUGUUUUUUAAACUGUGGCUCCUUCCAGCCUAGGUAGGAGCUGCCCCGGGGGCUGCUUGUCUCUUCAGUACUUCCCUCCUCAGCCAGCCUCCAGGGCACUGUCAGAGAAGGAUCCUAGGAAGUGGGACCGGGAGCCAAACAGUGGUAGCAAAACCCCGAACCCGACAGGCGCAUCAGGAUCUUUGCCAACUUUGCAAGUUGUCAAGCAACUCGCACCCUGCUGGCUAUUUUAAGAUGCUGUGCAAUUUCUUUUUGGCUUCCCUCUUCUUUCUUCCAGAACACUUGUAAUAACAUCCCUGCUGCUCUAGGAAAAAAGACAAUACAAAUGAGCACUCUCUUUUGGCAAUAGUCACCACUCCCGCAGAACUGAAUGAAGGAGACCGGUGUCCCCAAAGCAGAGCGCUGAAGACCACCCAGAGGGCAGCCAUGUCUCUGAGGCCCCAGGCGGCUGCCACAAGAAGCCGGAGAGGCAGUCGGCCAUCACAUAUGACUACUCCGAGGAGGAGCUGAUGGCCAGCAUCGAGCGGGAGUACUGCUGCUGAGGCCGGUGCAGCAGCAGCCUCACCGUCACCCAGCAACCAACCAACGUGCCAUUCCUCCCAGACCCAGCCCCAGCUGACCGGAACUGGGCUGGGGGCGCACGUUCCAAGAUCUUUCACAACUGGCCUCUUCAAAUCCACAUUCAGACAGUUCUGAACAUGGCUGGCUGCUGGCCAUCGUGCUUGCUGGCAAGAGAUGAUCAGCCGUGCAGACCCAGGAAGAAGGAAGGUGCGAGUGCCGGGGAGAGCCAUAUACAAGGGUCUCUUGAAUCCUGAAACACUUUCCCUUUCUGAUGCCCACUCGUCACGUGCUCUGAAGGAGGCUCAUUAGCUGAGUGUGGCUCAGACCCGAGGCUACAGGGCCUCACACGCGUCCCAUAGCACCCCGGGGAGGUCUCCCACGGGAGGGCACAUCCAGGAGGUAUGCCUUGCCGAGCUGGAGGGAGUCACCCUUGGGUCUGCGAAUGAGUCUCAUGGAGAUGUUGCAGAUUCUGAUUCCAUGGGUCUGGGGCACGGCCUCUGAGUCUGCAGGUCUCACCAGUUCCCAGGUGAGACCCAGGCUGCUGGGUCCCAGCUGCGCCCAGAGUGGCAGGGACUGAGCCCAAGCCUUCUGCCUGGCUGGAUCUUCCUUCCCUGGUGCCGGAGGCUGCUCAGAGCCAUAGUCCACCCCCCUCCCCAGAGAGAGGCGUGUGCUCCUGCAGUGUGUGUGUGUUGUGGGGGGACCAGAGCCAGAGUCCCCAGUUCUGAUCCUUGCCCUCGAACUAACCUGCAGUCACUUCCCCACUCUGGGCCUUGGGGUCCCUCUCUAGAAAGUGAGUCCCAGAGGAGUGCCCCCCACCCCCCUGCUCUGACCAUCUGGGAUUACACAUCCCAGGUGUCCUUGGUCUCCUUGUUCCCCUGGGGGCACGGGACUGCCUCCCCUGCUGGGGGUGAGCCCCAGUCUCACCUGCUCAGGGCCACCUGCUCUUCCACCUGGUAGAAGGAAGAAAAAUCACAGCAGUGAGGCCAGAAGAGCCUUAGAACAUCCCCAGUGGACAAAUGAGGAAGCCAAUGCCUUGUGAACCAGGGGGCCCUGGGGGAAACCCGCAGCCUGACUGGAAGGGAGGCCCCUGCUGUGGGCCCAGCGUGGCUGCUGUCUGAAAGUUCAGGGUAGCAGGCGGUCAAGAGCCCAGGAGGCGGGAGACCUGGGAGGCAGGCCCUCCAGAGCAGCUGGCCAGGACAUGGGUAAAAAAAGAAGGGCACGUAGAGGGUACCUGUUCGCCUCCAGAAGCCAGAAUGGGUCUCAGCUUGUCCAGUGUUCCCCACCCACGUACAGGUGAUUCCUCCACAGCGUCACCUGCAAGAGCAUCUCAGGGCUCGAGGAACGGCCACCUGGCACCGUGCCCAGGUCACAGGCUUGCUGCCCAAAUGGGCAAACAGGCAUUUCCACAAACCUCGGUGACUUGGCAAAGGUGCCUUUGAUCAGGUGUUUCAUGGCAGGGAGAUUUUAAACUUCGAGGCUUUGAUGGAACCAUGGAUCCUUCCAGCAAAUGCCCCAGAGGGUUGGCUCAGAACCUCCCCCAAACCAGAGCUAUUUCUCAUCCAAGCCCAAACCAUUUGUUUUAAUAUGAAGAUUAAACCUGUUAUUAUCAUAAUAAUACAGAUACUUCUUUUUGAAGUUAAAAUUUCAUUUCUCCCUACUAGACAGAUAAGGCCUUGACUUUAACGAUGUAAAUGUUUAGUUUUACAUCAUUCAUUUGGUGAAUUAAUUCAGCCAGAAAGUUGACACCCUGUACUUUCCCGUGGAAACCUCAUAAAACCCUUUACGAAACAAAAGCAUUAAGGAAAAGAAUUCCUCAUGACAUUUGAUGUCACCGAUGGGGUGAAUGCACUUCAUCAAAGCUGAGAAGUCAUAGCGGUCAUUCUCAGGUCUUCAUAUUUUUUUUAUUCCCCCAAUUCAGGAAAAAAAUGUGUCUUCUGGAUGGUGUUUGACAAUAAAGCGGCGUGUCCCAGCUUU
Non-coding RNA from Odocoileus virginianus texanus, 2784 nucleotides. NCBI's taxonomy places the organism in Eukaryota, Metazoa, Chordata, Mammalia, Artiodactyla, Cervidae. The record is from RefSeq and is a predicted model, not a curated record.